Molecule: unclassified non-coding RNA, 380 nt
Filed under: uncultured Gemmatimonadaceae bacterium
Lineage: Bacteria; Pseudomonadati; Gemmatimonadota; Gemmatimonadia; Gemmatimonadales; Gemmatimonadaceae
Description: contains 16S-23S intergenic spacer region
Source: RNAcentral
UCCGGUUUGGCACCGGCAGUCUCCCUAGAGUCCCCGACAUUACUCGCUGGCAACUAGGAACGGGGGUUGCGCUCGUUGCGGGACUUAACCCAACAUCUCACGACACGAGCUGACGACAGCCAUGCAGCACCUGUGCACGAGCUCCGAAGAGGGGCCCUCGUUUCUGAGGGCUUACUCGUACAUGUCAAGCCUAGGUAAGGUUCUUCGCGUUGCGUCGAAUUAAACCACAUGCUCCACCGCUUGUGCGGGCCCCCGUCAAUUCCUUUGAGUUUCAGCCUUGCGGCCGUACUCCCCAGGCGGGGUACUUCAUGCGUUAGCGCCGGCACUCGAGGGGUCGCUCCCCCAAGCACCUAGUACCCAUCGUUUACGGCGUGGACUAC